ACAGCCGGUUGUUUUCCAAGCUCACAACCAAACUUGUUGUUUUACGAGCUCACAACGAACUCGGUCGGUUCACCGACUAGAACCAACCCCGAUUGUUUUUCCGGGAUCACAAUCGAACCCUUACACGUUGGUUUUACACUCGGCUCACCAACCAACCUCUAUACCCUUGAUUCAAUCCCCCGAUUGAACCAAGCAAAGACAAUGUGUAGAUGAAAAGAACAAACAGAAAAAUACAGCUUCUCAAAAGCAGAUAAAUG
This 257-nucleotide long non-coding RNA is filed under the name Phoenix dactylifera (date palm). Its description in RNAcentral is "long non-coding RNA (PDAC_LNC007529)". Lineage: Eukaryota; Viridiplantae; Streptophyta; Magnoliopsida; Arecales; Arecaceae. The record is from RNAcentral.